Molecule: ribosomal RNA, 253 nt
Filed under: uncultured bacterium
Lineage: Bacteria
Description: partial 16S ribosomal RNA
Rfam family: Bacterial small subunit ribosomal RNA
Source: RNAcentral
CACGGGGGGAGCAAGCGUUGUUCGGAAUCACUGGGCGUAAAGGGCGUGUAGGCGGUCAGGUUAGUGAGAUGUGAAACGCCCCGGCUCACCCGGGGACCUGCAUCUCAAACUGCCUGGCUUGAGUAUGGGAGAGGAUGAGGGAAUUCCUGGUGUAGCGGUGAAAUGCGUAGAUAUCGGGAGGAACAUCCGUGGCGAAGGCGACUACCUGGACCAGCACUGACACUGAGGCACGAAAGCGUGGGGAGCAAACGGG